CUCGAACUCACAAUCUCUCGGUUGGAAGUGGGAGUUGCUUACCAUCAGAGCAACCCGUCUUGUCUACACUAAAGAUACUUCUAACAAAAAUCAGCAUAAAAAAUAGUUUCUCAAGUACCUCAAUGGAACCCUCCACUUUCCCCAAGGUUAUAGAUUUGUCAAAUUUUGACGAGUAUGCAUGUGUAGUUGGUGAUAUUUGCUUCACCAGUUUAUCCAUAGUUAUAGAGGAUUUAACGUCUUUCAUAAUAGACAAAAUUCUGCAUAGAAGGCAUGAAAGAAAUCAGAACAGCAUCUUAUCGGUCACCGAAAACAGAAAGGAAUACAUGGACCAGACCUCGAGAAAAGCACAAAUACAGCAUCCUACCAUAUGCCAGUAGAAUAAAGAAAAAGCAGAACUAAAAACAGCAAAAAUUAUAUCAUGUUAAUUCAG
RNAcentral lists this long non-coding RNA (430 nucleotides) under Nicotiana benthamiana. Its description in RNAcentral is "long non-coding RNA (NBEN_LNC029867)". Lineage: Eukaryota; Viridiplantae; Streptophyta; Magnoliopsida; Solanales; Solanaceae. The record is from RNAcentral.